This 541-nucleotide ribosomal RNA is filed under the name uncultured bacterium. Its description in RNAcentral is "bacterial SSU rRNA". It matches the Rfam family "Bacterial small subunit ribosomal RNA", at positions 777 to 1314 of the family's 1533-position model. The record is from RNAcentral.
AAUAGAUACCCAGGUAGUCCACGCCGUAAACGAUGAAUGCUAGGUGUUAGGGGUUUCGAUACCCUUGGUGCCGAAGUUAACACAUUAAGCAUUCCGCCUGGGGAGUACGGCCGCAAGGCUGAAACUCGAAAGGAAGUUGACGGGGACCCGCACAAGCAGUGGAGUAUGUGGUUUAAUUCGAAGCAACGCGAAGAACCUUACCAGGUCUUGACAUCCCCCUGACCGGUACAGAGAUGUGCCUUUCCUUCGGGACAGGGGAGACAGGUGGUGCAUGGUUGUCGUCAGCUCGUGUCGUGAGAUGUUGGGUUAAGUCCCGCAACGAGCGCAACCCUUGACUUUAGUUGCCAGCAGGUAAGGCUGGGCACUCUAGAGUGACUGCCGGUGACAAACCGGAGGAAGGUGGGGAUGACGUCAAAUCAUCAUGCCCCUUAUGACCUGGGCUACACACGUACUACAAUGGCCGGUACAACGGGAAGCGAAGGAGCGAUCUGGAGCGAAUCCUUUAAAGCCGGUCUCAGUUCGGAUUGCAGGCUGCAACUCG